Raphanus sativus (radish) is the source of this 2186-nucleotide long non-coding RNA. RefSeq lists it as uncharacterized. Lineage: Eukaryota; Viridiplantae; Streptophyta; Magnoliopsida; Brassicales; Brassicaceae. The record is from RefSeq and is a predicted model, not a curated record. The transcript is spliced from 4 exons.
UUUACUCAUAUAAAUAAAGGUCGUGUAAAUGAUAGCGUGAAACGAUGACUUGACCUAAUUGAAAAUGAAGACUGACUACUGGCUUUGAGAAACGAUGGCACAAGAACGACGACCAAAUAUCUCCCUGAUGAGUUACAACCGAGUUAACCCGAGUCCACUCGUUCUGCUCAUCAUUCUCAAGAGGCCACCGAAGGUUCGUGUGAGCCACGAUAGCAUACCGUUCCGCUUCUUCACCAAGCCCGUCAUAUUCACAAUGCUGAAAAGUCACACUCAUUGCAGAUGGAAUCUCGACGAAGUGAACGGCUCGAUCUCGGCGUCGGUUGGGUAAAGGAAGCUUCGAGUAGCUUCGUGGACGGAAGGGACGCCUCUCACGGCGACGGCGCCGAGUCCGGUCGGGAGGAUCGAGCUCAAGGGGACAGAACUGUUGAAGUACUUUGAAUAGUUAUUCAUGACAGUGCCAGGGCCGGCCCAAUAUGAACAAGGGUCCUUGGGCAAAACCUUACUUGGGGCCUAUAAUUAGUUUAUUUUUAGUGUUGACAAAAACUUUUAGUUAUUUUUAAGCGAUACUAUUAUUCUUUUGGGCUUUUGUGCAUCAAAACAUGCACAUCUUUAUAUAUAAAAGAAGCUUUUCAUCCCUUCUGGGGUGUUCACCUCAUCAUCCACGUCACUAAUUCAAACCUUCUCGCGUCGACACGUCAGAAACUCACCGUUUCAUUAAACGCGUAUCAUGAUGGGCUUGCUUCGUCAAUUGCGUGUUUGGGCUCUGCAUUUGGUCUCUGUAACCGGCCCGAGAAGAGGUGCGUCCUCUCCUUUCCUCCGACGACGGCGCAUGACGUCUAAGCUUCCUUUCCCAGACUGAAACUGAUGGAGUCGUAACUUCGUGUUUAUUCCAAUUAAUUCCAUCACUCACUAUGAAGUCUUCAAUGCAUCGUUCGUAUCUCAGAGGCGGUGUGAAAUCUGUAUAAAUAUGCAAAGCUCCAAAAAGUUAGGUUGGUGAGAAGCCAUUUCUAUCAAUUUCAACAGUUUUCAGGCAGCCCGAAACAGUGUAUUUCUUGCUGUUUCAGCAGUGUUAUAUGCAACAAUAACUAUCCAAGAUUCACGGUGCUGUUACUGUAUAGCCAGUGUGGCUGCAUCUGUUGCUGCUAUCGCAGCCUCCCCCACCAUGUUCUUCGAUCUCUGGGAAGGAUGAGCAGAUAGAUAAAACUGACAUGGCCAUUUCUUCUGCUGCGACCCUUGCUGAUGCUCAGUGUAUGGAGGCUUCUGAAGUGAUUAGAGCUGAGAAAGAGUAUUUGGCCUCUGUUGUCAGAACCGCCAUCAGUGUUCAUUCUGCCAGAGAUAUCAUGACAUUCACUGCCGGUGUACCACAGUGUUAAGAUGAGUGGCGACACUGAAAGUGAGGGCUAUGAAAGAAGUUUGGAACAUUGCAUCAGAGUUUACAGGGAUAAAAAAACUCACUACUUCUGAAGGAUGCAGUAACAUUAGUAAUUGUAGCAAUGGAAGCUUGAGUAGUAGUCAGAGUAGCGAACUUAUACAAGGGAUAAGCUCUUGGUAAUGAGUGGCAGAGAAUGGCUUGCAAGAGGCUGUCAACUGCUCAAACGUACUUGCCAAGGUAAUGAAGAUUAUCUUUUCUGUUUGGUUUAGUUUACAUUUCAAGUCUUGGAUAUUUUUUUCCUAAUACUUUGUUACUUUUGGAAGUGAUCGCCGCUGAAAAAUAGUUCAUGUUUAAAUCAACACUCUGAUGAAAUAAAUAAAACAGAGCCAAGUUUGUGAAUAAGUGGAAAUUUUUUUAGCUUACUUUACAUGGAUGUGAAUUUGUUAUAUGAAACACACAGAGAUUUGUUUGAAAAAAACACACAGAGACAUUUCAAAUGGCAGGAUAAGAAGAGAAAGCAGAAACAAAGCUAAAGCUGAUAUAAAAAAGCAUACUUUGUGACAAGGAUGAUGAUAAGGUAUGUCUUGGUAAUAGCCAAGAUGAAAGACUGUUAAAGAUAUGUCUUGGGAUUGUUAUUUAUGCUUUUUAGUAUUGGUUUAUUUUGUGGAAAAAGUCUUUUUCGAUCAUAUAUAUGUUUAUGCUAAGUUUGUAAUUCUCAUGAUCUUUUUGCGAUUUGACUUUUGGUGGAAUGUCUCUUUAAUAGUUGAAGUGUUUACUUUUUAAUUUGCCUUUUCUACCAUGAUCUCUUUACUCA